RNAcentral lists this ribosomal RNA (322 nucleotides) under uncultured Sandona. RNAcentral describes it as "SSU rRNA". It matches the Rfam family "Eukaryotic small subunit ribosomal RNA", at positions 632 to 955 of the family's 1831-position model. The record is from RNAcentral. Lineage: Eukaryota; Cercozoa; Glissomonadida.
GAUUUCUGACUUGAAACAUUCAGCCGGCCACGGUUUCGUGUGUUAGUGCUGGAUGUUCUGGUCAUCCUUCCAAUCGCUAUUGACUCUUCUUAAUUGAUUGGUCAGUGGUAUUGGAUCUUUUACUUUGAAAAAAUUAGAGUGUUUCAAGCAGGCUUUAUGCUAUGAAUACAUUAGCAUGGAAUAAUAAUUUAGGACUUCGGUUCUAUUUUGUUGGUUUCUAGGACUGAAGUAAUGAUUGAUAGGGAUAGUUGGGGGUGCUAGUAUUCAGCGGCCAGAGGUGAAAUUCUCGGAUUCGCUGAAGACUAACUUAUGCGAAAGCAUU